Cajanus cajan (pigeon pea) is the source of this 2292-nucleotide RNA transcript. It is a transcript of the gene named inositol 1,3,4-trisphosphate 5/6-kinase 4, with no coding region annotated. NCBI's taxonomy places the organism in Eukaryota, Viridiplantae, Streptophyta, Magnoliopsida, Fabales, Fabaceae. The record is from RefSeq and is a predicted model, not a curated record.
CGGUGUGUGAUGUCUGUCUGAUGAAACCGCUUUCGUUUCUAUUUUGAAGAGUUGAGUGAUGUCUUGCUAGUUGCUACUCUUCCUUCUUUCUUCAUUCUCUUCUCCAAACAUUCACAUAUUAACGUUUGAUACCUCUGAUUUGAAACUUCACCCAUUUUCCUAAACCCUCAAUUAAGCCACCAAUUAGGAGAGGCAGUUUUCUCACAUCAGAGAGAAAUCUUUGUACCAGUGGUGCAUCCGUUCCAAGAUGGGCGUAGUGAGGGGGGUGAUAUUGGAUGAAUCAGUACUCUUGGCUGAAAAUGAUAAUGAUAAAACUGUAUCUUUACUGAGGCCAGGAGUGGAGUUUCUCAUCCGAACACUCUUCCUUUCCAGAACCCAUUGUGGAAUUGCUUAUGGUGUGGGCCUUCCAGAAGACAAGGUUAGUAUUCUUAAAAGAACUGCUGAUUUGUACUCACUAGAUUGCUUUACCGUAAAUGAGGUUAUGCCUGGAUGGAGUAAUACUAAUGAUGGCAGUAUUGUUUAUCUGGUUUCUAAUAAGGAGUUCUUACCUAAAUUAAGCAGCUAUAAUUGGCUUAUUGUUGUUCUGAAUGUUGGAGGUGAAAGUUUAUGUCACAAUCCAAAUAUGCUUCAGAUAGAAAACUUAGAAGAGUUGCCACUGACCAUAUGUCAGUUAAAUAAAAGAACAAAUGGAACCAAUGCUGUGACUGUGGGUUAUAUAAUGAAGCCUUCCCGCGUGGAAGAUUUUGCAAAGAGAGGUGCAUUUCCUUUGUGUCCUACACAAAAUGGAUUGAUGUUCAUGCCUCUCACGUCCAAGCUGCCUUUAUCAUCUCAAUUAAAGGAUGUUGACAUAGUUCUCCACAAAGCCACCGAUGAAAUAUUAUCUAUUGAAGAUAAUAAACUUACUUUUACUCAGAACAUGCAAGCAUUGCAAAGAUAUUUGGAUCAACACCAGGAUUUGUGUGUGGUUGAUCCACUGAGUAAUAUUUAUCCAUUAUUGGAUAGGCUAGAAAUUCAACAAGUUCUACUUGGCUUGGUAGAACUAAACACUGAAGGCAGAUAUUUGAUCAGAGGGGCCCAUUUUCUUAAGGUUGAUAGCUUUGAUGGUUUUGAUUUUGCAACUGGAAUAUCAGAAGCUAGAUUGUCUCUUCCAUGUAUAGUGAAACCGAAAGUUGCUUGUGGUGUCAGUGAUGCACAUAAGAUGGCAAUUGUUUUCAGAGUUGAAGAUUUUAAGAGUUUAAAUGUUCCUCUUCCAGCUGUUAUUCAGGAAUAUGUGGAUCAUUCAUCCACUUUGUACAAAUUUUAUGUCUUGGGUGAAAAGAUUUUCUAUGCUGUCAAGAAGUCAAUACCAAAUGCUAAUAUUUUGAUAAAAUUAUCCAACGGAGAUGAGCUUAAACCUCUACUGUUUGAUAGCUUAAAAUCUUUGCCAACCGCUGACAGCAUCAAGGGUUCUGGUGCUAGUGACCAUGGUAUCACAAGGAAUGAGUCUAUUGACCUUAAGCUGGUUACAGAUGCUGCAAAUUGGCUAAGGAGAAAGCUUCAUCUUACCAUCUUCGGUUUUGAUGUUGUAAUUCAGGAAGGUACUCAUGACCAUGUAAUUGUGGAUGUAAACUAUCUCCCAUCAUUUAAGGAAGUACCUGAUGACAUCUCUAUCCCUGCCUUCUGGGAGGCCAUUAGAAAUAAGUUUGACUGUAGAAUUUCUAAAUAAGCAUUUGUUUGAACUUUGUGGUGGUUUGACAAGGAAUAAUGCCAAUGAUUGCAUCAGAUCAUGGAUCAGGCACUCGAUCAUAUCAAGCCAAAAAUGAGAUUGAACAACUCAUUAUUGCAUACUUGAGGUGCCACAACUAGUAAACGAGGAAUAAUUAUAUCUAGUGUUCAAGCUACAUUUCGUUGCUGACACACCGACAAUGUUGACGUUUUCAGUUUUCACAUAGUUGCUGCUACUCAUGCAUUGUGGCAGACAAGGACGCAAAAGGGGUUGCCAAGUGUUAAAAUCAAAAGCUUUCUAGAGUAGAACACUAACAGAACUUCAAGGUAGAAUUGACAAAAUAUAAAACACUUGUUUUAAAAUGUAUUGUACGAAGUGUCGUAUUUUAAAUUAGCGUGUAUGUACACUUAUUUUUAACGAAAUUAUUUACCUAUAAUCAUUUCUAGAAAUAGAAUGGUUAAAAGGUAUUUUACUUUUAAUAAAGGUAAUUAUUCAAAAAAUAGGUAGAAAUAAUUAUAAUAAUUGUCAAUAUAUGCUCUAUUGCAGUUAUUCAUUUGUUAAAAGAAAUUAUUUGAAAAAGGUAAUUU